UGUAAUUCAUGUGUGAUGCAAGAAGAAACGGCGGAACAUAUCUUUUUGCAUUGUCCCAAAGUUGAGAUGGUCUGGGAUGAAAUUUUUCAAUGGCUGGACAUUAAAACAGCAAAGCCUAAAGGUAUUAUUCAACACUUUAAAUCCUUUGUCUUUGGUGUUUUUUUUUUUUUUUUGAUCGGGCAAAGUCAUGUUAGAUGUUAGUAAUUAGUUCCCCAUCCACUCCAAGAACCACCUUAUCUCUCCAUUCACCAAAUCCACCUUAUAUCUCCAAUCUCCAAUUCGCUCCCAAGAGGGAUCGAACCCGGGUCACUUCACUUAAGUGAGGACCCGGUGGCCAGUGGGCUAAGCCCCCUGGUUCCUUUGUCUUUGGUGCUAGAAGGAAGAAAGGGAGAAAACUGCUUCUUGCUCUUUGGGUUGGGAUUGUGUGGCUGAUAUGGAAAUGUAGAAACGAGAGCAGGUUUGAGGGUAGGGUGUGGGAUGAUAAGAAGCUUGUUUUGGAGUUUAAGGGUAGAAUCUGGAGUUGGAACAAGAUCUACCAAUUUGCGGAUGUCAAUGUUCCCUUCUCCUCUUGGUGUUCUUGUGAACAUAAACUUUCUUUUCUGUAAUACUCUUGGUAUCUCUGGUACCUUAGGUUCUCUCUUUUCUUGGCCAAUAAAGUUUCUCUUUCACUGAUCAAAAAAAAAA
Molecule: long non-coding RNA, 684 nt
Filed under: Salvia miltiorrhiza (redroot sage)
Lineage: Eukaryota; Viridiplantae; Streptophyta; Magnoliopsida; Lamiales; Lamiaceae
Description: long non-coding RNA (SMIL_LNC001165)
Source: RNAcentral